Non-coding RNA from Alligator mississippiensis (American alligator), 1739 nucleotides. Lineage: Eukaryota; Metazoa; Chordata; Crocodylia; Alligatoridae. The record is from the annotation of a RefSeq genome assembly.
UCCAGGCACUGGUGAUGACCUGGGAACACUGCUCCCAGUCAAACCUGACAUCUACUUAUCUUCAACGCAUUGACAGUUGGCAAAUGCCAUUUCAACAUAAAAUGCAGAACAAAGACCACAUGCUCCUAUGGGUUUGACUAACAUUUACUGCAAUGGGGUCCUGAUCUUCACUGCACCAACUGGGCAUGACUACAAAGAAGCAAGUAGUAAUAAUAGCCCCAAAGCCCAUUGAAGUGCACAGUGAAAGAGCAGCUGGAGGCCCUCUCAGGUUGCACUUGUCCUCUGAUACCCCGGCCAUCCGGUCCCUGCACAUUUAGAUCAGAGGGGGGCUCUUAUAUCAAACCCAAAUUUGCAUGUUGCAUGCUCAAGUGACAUUUCCUGUGCUGCUUAGAGCUGGUUUAAAACCUCCUGCAUCACUCGUUGCAGCCUGCUGAGCAGCUGUGGGCCAGUCAGAUGUACCAAGAUGGUUUCACAGGCUCCACUCCUCUGCCUGUUACUGCUCGGCAUCCAUGGUUCAAGUGGAGACCGUGUGAUGACCCAGACUCCAGAGUCCCUGGCCGUGUUCCCUGGAGACACCGCCACCAUCAAGUGCAAAUGCAGCUCCAGCCUCACAUCCGCAGGAAAGGAGUUCCUAGCCUGGUACCAGCAGAAACUUGGACAAGCUCCUAAACUCAUCAUCACUUUUGCUUCCACACGACAACCGGGAGUCCCGGCUCGGUUCAGCGGCAGUGGGUCUGGAACGGAUUUCACUCUCACCAUCAGCCGGGUGGAAGCUGAAGAUGCUGGACGUUAUUUCUGUCAGCAGAAGUAUGGUACCCCACUCACAGUGAUACAAACCAGCGCAAAAACCUCCCGGCACUCUUCAGACCAGCACGGCAGGUGCUUCCUUAGCAGUCACCUUCGGAGUACAUGUGCUACACAGAGGGGCACGUUUUCUCCCUUGUUGAAAUGACUGUAAAAAGACAGCUGAAGUCCACUGUGGCAUAAAAACAAUAACCAGGAGUCAGGACAUGUACUCAUUUACUUUCAACUCAGAUAAGUAGCACUGCAGCAUAAAGUGAGGCAGCUCUGAGGAACAGUUAGCUUAAAACUGGUUUGUGGUCCUUUCUGAGCUCAUUUUGGGAUCAGACAUGUACUUUGCAUAUAUUAAAGCAAAUAGCACCCUUUGAUGCUGUAACAAGUUACUAUUAACACCGUGUGCCACUCAGUAGUGGUUGUUCAGAUGCAUCACAAUGAUCCCAAAGGCUCAGCUCCUCUGACUGGUAGUAGUACUCUGUACCAAGGGGAAGAGGCUCAUGAAGCUAGUACCGGUGUGAUGAAAAACUAUAUUUGAGGGGUUUAGGGAUUAUAAUGAUAUUAUUUUUAUUUUUUUAAUUAUGUUUUGAGUUAAAUAUAUUUAGAUAUUCAUCUAUAAAACUUCACACAUUCCUCAGAGUGUUCUGCAUUUCCUUGUGUUAUUUCAAGAGCAGUUAGGUCCUCACAGUAUGUCCAGCACAGUGAAUACGAGACUUUCACUGGGCUUCAAAGGUUUUGCAUUAGGCUCUAAAGUGACUAACUGAAAAAGGGGAGAGAAUGAAGGGGACAAAUUCAAGGAUAGGAACUACAUAAAGAGCCAUUUGGUAAUGUUCAUAAAAGAUAGCUCCUCUGGCAUUUAUUUCGCUCUCAUACACACAUCCCUGUGCACUUUUCACUUAUUUAACUUUUCAGACUCAAAUGCAAAAACCGCCUGGAUUCGGACU